Molecule: ribosomal RNA, 465 nt
Filed under: uncultured bacterium
Lineage: Bacteria
Description: partial 16S ribosomal RNA
Rfam family: Bacterial small subunit ribosomal RNA
Source: RNAcentral
CCUACGGGAGGCAGCAGUGGGGAAUAUUGCGCAAUGGGCGAAAGCCUGACGCAGCGACGCCGCGUGAGGGAUGAAGGUCUUCGGAUCGUAAACCUCUUUCAGCAGGGAAGAACGGUCACUGUGCUAAUCAGCAGUGAAUUGACGGUACCUGCAAAGGAAGCACCGGCUAACUCCGUGCCAGCAGCCGCGGUAAUACGGAGGGUGCGAGCGUUAAUCGGAAUUACUGGGCGUAAAGCGCUCGUAGGCGGUAUGUCAAGUCAAGGGUGAAAUCCCCGCGCUCAACGUGGGAAUUGCCUUUGAAACUGGCAAACUGGAGUGUGUGAGAGGAUAGUAGAAUUCCAGGUGUAGGAGUGAAAUGCGUAGAUAUCUGGAGGAACAUCAGUGGCGAAGGCGACUAUCUGGCAAAUAACUGACGCUGAGGUGCGAAAGCGUGGGUAGCAAACAGGAUUAGAUACCCUUGUAGUC